GUGCCAGAGCCGCGGUAACACGGGGGACGCAAGCGUUAUUCGGAAUUAUUGGGCGUAAAGGGCGUGUAGGCGGUCUUAUCGGUCAGAUGUGAAAGCCCAGGGCUCAACCCUGGACGUGCAUUUGAAACAGUAAGACUUGAGUACUGGAGAGGAAAGCGGAAUUCCUGGUGUAGAGGUGAAAUUCGUAGAUAUCAGGAGGAACACCGAUGGCGAAGGCAGCUUUCUGGACAGAAACUGACGCUGAUGCGCGAAGGCGUGGGUAGCGAACAGGAUUAGAUACCCUGGUAGUCCACGCAGUAAACGAUGUACACUAGGUGUAGGGGAUAUUAAAAUUUUCUGUGCCGCAGUUAACACAUUAAGUGUACCGCCUGGGGAGUACGGUCGCAAGACUAAAACUCAAAGGAAUUGACGGGGACCCGCACAAGCGGUGGAACAUGUGGUUUAAUUCGAUGCAACGCGAAGAACCUUACCUGGGUUUGACAUCCUGUGAACGUGUAAGAGAUUAGACAGUGCCUUCGGGAGCACAGAGACAGGUGCUGCAUGGCUGUCGUCAGCUC
Molecule: ribosomal RNA, 557 nt
Filed under: uncultured delta proteobacterium
Lineage: Bacteria; Deltaproteobacteria
Description: bacterial SSU rRNA
Rfam family: Bacterial small subunit ribosomal RNA
Source: RNAcentral